This is a long non-coding RNA of Folsomia candida, 915 nucleotides long. RefSeq lists it as uncharacterized. The record is from RefSeq and is a predicted model, not a curated record. The transcript has 3 exons. Lineage: Eukaryota; Metazoa; Arthropoda; Collembola; Entomobryomorpha; Isotomidae.
GGUUGGGGGGGCGGCGGCGGGGGAUGGGGCGGUGGCGAAGAGGAAGAUGACUUCGGAUUCGACAAGGAAUUAAUUGGACUCUUGGGACUGAAGGGAUUGAAAGGGUUGAAGGGUCUUGGUGGCCUAUUGGGGUUACUCAAGGGUCUCUUACUCCUCAAGAAAUUGGGACUAAUUCCCCUUCUUCCCAUUCUACUUCCGGUCCUUUUGCCCCUCCUCCUUUUUAAGGCAGCCCUACUUCUCCUCCCCCUUCUUCUACUGCUUCUUAUCCCGAUUCCCGUAAUUACAACCGGUCGUCACCUCUUGGAAUCCGCUGCAGCUGGAAAAUCCAUAAAAUCCAUAAUAUCCGACUCUCUCGACGAACUCUUAACCAAACUUCCCCCCGAUUUGAACCAUAUCAUUGCCAAAAUCCGAAACGGUAUCGGUCCCGACGCCAUCUCGGCUAAAAAUCAGGUUGACACUGACCCCACCACGACCACCACCUCGGAAGCCAGGUCUUCUGUCUCUUCAACUAAAAAACACAUCGUCAAGUUUGUCAAACCUUUGCCAAAAACUAAAAAUAUUUAGCAAAAACCUCCGCCAAAAAUAAUAUUUACAACAAAAAUGACCCACCUGACACAAACUCAACAAACAAAGACUGGACUUUUUGACCUCAUUUACAUAAAUAAUUAUGACGACAAUGACGACAAAAUGACGAAAUGACGACGCUUAACCAAAUGACGAAAAGACAAAAAAUGUGACGAUGACGACUUUACGACACCGCCAAAAAAAUGACAAAUUCCUAGUGACCCGACGCCAUAAAAAGACAGAGCUUGACACAUUUUUACGUAUGCAUAACUUCUUCAUUUCCGGUCUCACUUUCGAAAAAUUUACCAAAAAACGACCAAAAAUUUACCAAGAAUUGACACUAACGAAAAA